CCUACGGGGGGCUGCAGUGAGGAAUAUUGGUCAAUGGCCGGAAGGCUGAACCAGCCAUGCCGCGUGAAGGUCAGUGCCCUAUGGGCGUUAAACUUCUUUUGUGCGGGAGCAAUAAUGGUCACGUGUGGCCAGACGAGAGUACCGUACGAAUAAGCAUCGGCUAACUCCGUGCCAGCAGCCGCGGUAAUACGGGGGAUGCAAGCGUUAGCCGGAUUUAUUGGGGUUAAAGGGUGCGUAGGCUGUGAGGUAAGUCAGCGGUGAAAUGCCCCCGCUCAACGGGGUGAAGUGCCAUUGAUACUGCCUUGCUGGAAUGCGGAUGCCGUGGGAGGAAUGUGUGGCGUAGCGGUGAAAUGCAUAGAUAUCACACAGAACACCGAUUGAGAGGCAUCUCACGAAUCCGCGAUUGACGCUGAUGCACGAAAGCGUGGGUAUCAAACAGGAUUAGAUACCCCUGUAAUC
This 459-nucleotide ribosomal RNA is filed under the name uncultured bacterium. RNAcentral describes it as "partial 16S ribosomal RNA". It matches the Rfam family "Bacterial small subunit ribosomal RNA", at positions 338 to 795 of the family's 1533-position model. The record is from RNAcentral.